GUGCCAGCAGCCGCGGUAAUACGGAGGGUGCAAGCGUUAUCCGGAUUCACUGGGUUUAAAGGGUGCGUAGGUUGAUAGGUAAGUCAGUGGUGAAAUACUCCGACUCAAUCGGAGAACUGCCGUUGAUACUAUCUAUCUUGAAUACGGUGGAGGCGGGCGGAAUGCGUCAUGUAGUGGUGAAAUACUUAGAUAUGACGCAGAACACCCAUUGCGAAGGCAGCUCGCUACACCGGCAUUGACACUGAGGCACGAAAGCGUGGGGAUCAAACAGGAUUAGAUACCCUGGUAGUCC
Molecule: ribosomal RNA, 292 nt
Filed under: uncultured bacterium
Lineage: Bacteria
Description: partial 16S ribosomal RNA
Rfam family: Bacterial small subunit ribosomal RNA
Source: RNAcentral